UCACACUGGCGAUGGUGCUGGGCCUGGGCAGGGUACGCCAUUUUCUUGGAACGCCAAGAGGCUCUGAGUGAGCUGACUUUCACUUUCCUUCAAGAGGUUAGCGAGAGCGAGGCGAGAGGAUAGAAUGGAUGUACCGAGGAAAUAUUAGCAGAAACCGUAACUAGUUGUUUAGGGCAUAGUUAACCUCUGGUUCGUCUGAAUCUUUGUGUAAGAGCCGUUCAAGCCACCUGCAAGCCAAGCUCCUUCACGGAAUUGUGAAGAAAAAUGCUGCAGCAAAAUUUAACAGCUGGCAGUUAGUGAUGACAUCGGCGCAUGACUCAAGAGAAAUAAAAUAAAGUACAUGAGGAUGAGUGUUGUGCACAUAUCAUUUGAUGCCUAUACCAAUCACUUGUUUACACAAUAAUGUCUUUGCUUGGUGCCCUAAAGAAGAAUAGAGGACCUCCAGAAGAAAAGAAGCGCCGCCAAGAGGGAAGAAAAAAGAACUAAAGAAGAAAAGAAAAAAAAGAACUAAAGAAGAGAAAAAAAAAAGGACCGAAGAUAGAAGAAAAGCAGAGAGCAAAAAAGGGUAUACAGAGAGAAAGGAGAGUAGUAUGGGGAUGAGGUGAUUUCUAGUCUUCAUCAUGUGGAAGCUUGCUUGAAGAAAGAGGAGAAGGGAAAAAAAUGCUAAAAGCUCAAAACCAGUUGAAUCUCUCUUCGAUCUCAUCUGUUGCAUUUAAUUUCUCUCUGAAUUUGUAAUUUUGUUGAA
Long non-coding RNA from Morus notabilis, 745 nucleotides. RefSeq lists it as uncharacterized. The record is from RefSeq and is a predicted model, not a curated record. The transcript is spliced from 3 exons. Lineage: Eukaryota; Viridiplantae; Streptophyta; Magnoliopsida; Rosales; Moraceae.